This 28-nucleotide non-coding RNA is filed under the name Bombyx mori (domestic silkworm). Lineage: Eukaryota; Metazoa; Arthropoda; Insecta; Lepidoptera; Bombycidae. The record is from RNAcentral.
UGCAGAAGGAACUUGACAACUGGUGAUC